RNAcentral lists this unclassified non-coding RNA (77 nucleotides) under Pseudomonas sp. bs2935. The record is from RNAcentral. Lineage: Bacteria; Pseudomonadati; Pseudomonadota; Gammaproteobacteria; Pseudomonadales; Pseudomonadaceae.
GUCAAUGUGGGAGCUGGCUUGCCUGCGAUGGCGCGAGUGGAUUCAGCACCGCUAUCGCAGGCAAGCCAGCUCCCACA